Molecule: ribosomal RNA, 1065 nt
Filed under: Triticum aestivum (bread wheat)
Lineage: Eukaryota; Viridiplantae; Streptophyta; Magnoliopsida; Poales; Poaceae
Description: partial small subunit ribosomal RNA
Source: RNAcentral
AUGGACAGGGACGCCGGGUGCUACUACCUCGGCGGCGGAGGCGGCAACGACUGGGACCUCAACGCCGUCGUGCGCUUCGCCUGCCGCGGCCGCGUCCUCCCGCCGCCGCCCUCGGACGACCCCUUCUCCUCCUUCUUCCCCCCGCCGGCGCCUGUCGUGGAGGACCACGGGAUGCCUGACGCGGCGGCGUUGCUCCCUGAUCCGCCCGUCCACGGGGGCUCUGCUACCGUCGACGAGCUCUCCAUUGCCUUCUUCGCGCCGUCGGCUGCGCUGCCGGCCUCGCCUCAACCGCCGCCGCCGCUGCAGCAGCAGCCAGCGGCGCCAACGAACCAAGAAAUGGUGCCGAUGCAGCAAGACGAGGCGGUGCCGCCUCCGAUGCUGCUGACCGCGGGCGGGCAAGGCCCCGUCGGCGAAGGGUCGAGAUCCAAGAGAAAGAAGAAGGUGGUGAAGAAGGUGGUGAAGCGGGUGGCGGCGGACGGCACGUCGGCGGACCCGUGGGCGUGGCGCAAGUACGGGCAGAAGCCCAUCAAGGGGUCGCCGUACCCGCGCGGGUACUACCGGUGCAGCACCGACAAGGCGUGCGAGGCGCGGAAGAUGGUGGAGCGCUGCCGCGACGACCCCAACUCCUUCAUCCUCACCUACACCGGCGGCGAGCACAGCCACCCCGCCCCCGCCCACCGCAACUCCCUGGCCGGCACCACGCGCAACAGGCAGCAGGCGCCGGAACCUGCUGCCGGACAGAGCGCUCCCGCCGCCAAAGCCAAAGAAGAGUCGUCGGCGGCGGCGGCGGAGCCGAGCCCAGCGCAGUCGACGUCGGGCGGGAUGUCCCCGACGACGCCCCUGCGCACGCCCUCCAUGGAGGAGUACAACCAAGACUCAGAAUUCGACGAGGCCGCCGGCAGCGCAAGUCAGCUGCCCAUGGACGUCGAGAAGGACCGCGAGGAUGAGCUGCUGAAGAUAUUGGAGGGGUGCGUGCACGGCGGCGACUCCAGCAUCGUCGUCGAGGAGACGUUCGUGGUCACGCCGUGGGUCACGGCCCCCGGCGGCGCGGCCGGGUGGAGUUGA